This 269-nucleotide ribosomal RNA is filed under the name uncultured bacterium. RNAcentral describes it as "partial 16S ribosomal RNA". It matches the Rfam family "Bacterial small subunit ribosomal RNA", at positions 87 to 354 of the family's 1533-position model. The record is from RNAcentral.
CCCGGCGACCGGCGCACGGGUGAGUAACGCGUAUGCAACUUACCUAUCAGAGGGGGAUAACCCGGCGAAAGUCGGACUAAUACCGCAUGAAGCAGGGGCCCCGCAUGGGGAUAUUUGCUAAAGAUUCAUCGCUGAUAGAUAGGCAUGCGUUCCAUUAGGCAGUUGGCGGGGUAACGGCCCACCAAACCGACGAUGGAUAGGGGUUCUGAGAGGAACGGUCCCCCACAUUGGUACUGAGACACGGACCAAACUCCUACGGGAGGCAGCAG